This 45-nucleotide non-coding RNA is filed under the name Schistosoma mansoni. Lineage: Eukaryota; Metazoa; Platyhelminthes; Trematoda; Strigeidida; Schistosomatidae. The record is from RNAcentral.
AUUCAGCUGACGAGUCCUGAAUAGGACGAAACUCGCGUCCUGGAU